AAAAGUUCGUUUGAGUUUUUCUGUUACAUCUUAUGGAAAAACUUGAAUGAACUUACU
Bison bison bison is the source of this 57-nucleotide microRNA precursor. Lineage: Eukaryota; Metazoa; Chordata; Mammalia; Artiodactyla; Bovidae. The record is from Ensembl.